This 446-nucleotide ribosomal RNA is filed under the name uncultured bacterium. RNAcentral describes it as "bacterial SSU rRNA". It matches the Rfam family "Bacterial small subunit ribosomal RNA", at positions 331 to 793 of the family's 1533-position model. The record is from RNAcentral.
CCAGACUCCUACGGGAGGCAGCAGUGGGGAAUAUUGCACAAUGGGGGAAACCCUGAUGCAGCAACGCCGCGUGAGUGAAGAAGUAUUUCGAUAUGUAAAGCUCUAUCAGCAGGGAAGAAGAUGACGGUACCUGAUUAAGAAGCCCCGGCUAACUACGUGCCAGCAGCCGCGGUAAUACGUAGGGGGCAAGCGUUAUCCGGAUUUACUGGGUGUAAAGGGAGCGUAGACGGCAGCACAAGUCUGGAGUGAAAUCCCGGGGCUUAACCCCGGAACUGCUUUGGAAACUGUGCGGCUGGAGUGCAGGAGGGGUAAGCGGAAUUCCUAGUGUAGCGGUGAAAUGCGUAGAUAUUAGGAGGAACACCGGUGGCGAAGGCGGCUUACUGGACUGUAACUGACGUUGAGGCUCGAAGGCGUGGGGAGCAAACAGGAUUAGAUACCCUUGUAAG